GACGAACGCUGGCGGCGUGCUUAACACAUGCAAGUCGAACGGAAAGGCCCUGCUUUUGUGGGGUGCUCGAGUGGCGAACGGGUGAGUAACACGUGAGUAACCUGCCCUUGACUUUGGGAUAACUUCAGGAAACUGGGGCUAAUACCGGAUAGGAGCUCCUGCUGCAUGGUGGGGGUUGGAAAGUUUCGGCGGUUGGGGAUGGACUCGCGGCUUAUCAGCUUGUUGGUGGGGUAGUGGCUUACCAAGGCUUUGACGGGUAGCCGGCCUGAGAGGGUGACCGGCCACAUUGGGACUGAGUGACGGCCCAGACUCCUACGGGAGGCAGCAGUGGGGAAUAUUGCACAAUGGGCGGAAGCCUGAUGCAGCAACGCCGCGUGCGGGAUGACGGCCUUCGGGUUGUAAACCGCUUUCGCCUGUGACGAAGCGUGAGUGACGGUAAUGGGUAAAGAAGCACCGGCUAACUACGU
Molecule: ribosomal RNA, 467 nt
Filed under: uncultured bacterium
Lineage: Bacteria
Description: partial 16S ribosomal RNA
Rfam family: Bacterial small subunit ribosomal RNA
Source: RNAcentral